GACGAACGCUGGCGGCGUGCUUAACACAUGCAAGUCGAACGGAAAGGCCCUGCUUUUGUGGGGUGCUCGAGUGGCGAACGGGUGAGUAACACGUGAGUAACCUGCCCUUUACUUUGGGAUAACUUCAGGAAACGGGGGCUAAUACCGGAUAUGAGCUCCUGCUGCCUGGUGGGGGGGGGAAAGGUUCGGCGGUGGGGGAUGGACUCGCGGCUUAUCAGCUGGUUGGUGGGGUAGUGGCUUACCAAGGCUUUGACGGGUAGCCGGCCUGAGAGGGUGACCGGCCACAUUGGGACUGAGAUACGGCCCAGACUCCUACGGGAGGCAGCAGUGGGGAAUAUUGCACCAUGGGCGGAAGCCUGAUGCAGCAACGCCGCGUGCGGGAUGACGGCCUUCGGGUUGUAACCCGCUUUCGCCUGUGACGAAGCGUGAGUGACGGUAAUGGGUAAAGAAGCACCGGCUAACUACGUG
RNAcentral lists this ribosomal RNA (468 nucleotides) under uncultured bacterium. RNAcentral describes it as "partial 16S ribosomal RNA". It matches the Rfam family "Bacterial small subunit ribosomal RNA", at positions 28 to 507 of the family's 1533-position model. The record is from RNAcentral.